This 68-nucleotide transfer RNA is filed under the name Marmota monax (woodchuck). RNAcentral describes it as "tRNA.Ala". It matches the Rfam family "tRNA", at positions 6 to 65 of the family's 71-position model. From Rfam's summary of the family: Transfer RNA (tRNA) molecules are approximately 80 nucleotides in length. Their secondary structure includes four short double-helical elements and three loops (D, anti-codon, and T loops). Further hydrogen bonds mediate the characteristic L-shaped molecular structure. tRNAs have two regions of fundamental functional importance: the anti-codon, which is responsible for specific mRNA codon recognition, and the 3' end, to which the tRNAs corresponding amino acid is attached (by aminoacyl-tRNA synthetases). tRNAs cope with the degeneracy of the genetic code in two manners: having more than one tRNA (with a specific anti-codon) for a particular amino acid; and 'wobble' base-pairing, i.e. permitting non-standard base-pairing at the 3rd anti-codon position. Lineage: Eukaryota; Metazoa; Chordata; Mammalia; Rodentia; Sciuridae. The record is from RNAcentral.
GGAUGUAGCUCAGCUGGUAGAAUGCUUGCCUUGCAUGCACGAGGCCCUGGGUUCAAUCCCCAGCACCA